GAAAGCAUGGACUUUUAACUCACUAAAACUAAGAAACAAACUAGGAUUAGAUACCCUACUAUGCUUAGUCCUAAUCUCAGAUAUUAACCCCCACUAAAUAUCCGCCAGAGAACUACAAGUGAAAAACUUAAAACUCAAAGGAUUUGGCGGUGCUCCACCCAGCCUAGAGGAGCCUGUCCUAUAAUCGAUACCCCCCGAUCAACCCAACCACCCCUAGCCCCG
This 222-nucleotide ribosomal RNA is filed under the name Ophisaurus ventralis. RNAcentral's name for it is "partial 12S ribosomal RNA". It matches the Rfam family "Bacterial small subunit ribosomal RNA", at positions 733 to 988 of the family's 1533-position model. Lineage: Eukaryota; Metazoa; Chordata; Lepidosauria; Squamata; Anguidae. The record is from RNAcentral.